GUCAACCACUCGCCAAUAAAUUGACGGGCAUGUAAUGUGCCCUGGUUGACCAGAUCCCCGAUUAGGAGCUUUGGAAAAUCGGGAAACGAUAGGAACGAAUUUCAUAGUUACCCUGAAAUGCCGCCUCAGUUUCAGGCUCUAAGGAUGCCGGUUAAACAGUCCUGGGAGGUAGGGACAGUGCUUGCAUCAUACAAACCGUUCCAUAUCAGAUCGAGAGGAAGCCGGA
Molecule: non-coding RNA, 226 nt
Organism: Methanosarcina sp. MTP4
Lineage: Archaea; Methanobacteriati; Methanobacteriota; Methanomicrobia; Methanosarcinales; Methanosarcinaceae
Rfam family: HNH endonuclease-associated RNA and ORF (HEARO) RNA
Source: Rfam